GCCGCCCUGGGUGCGGCGGGGCAGCGCCGGGGCGGGGGCGCAUCCGAGAACCGGGGGCCGCGGCGCCUUCCCCAGCACCAGCGGACCCGCGGGACCGACGGACGCGGCCAGAGCGCGGGACCCGGUCGUCUUGAAAGUGGUCCAGGGCCCCCAGGGGGUCAUGCUCGGGGCCACUGCGGGAGGUCAGGAAGCAAGUUCUCGUGCCCACGUUAAAGGCAGGUGGAAUCUAUAUGUGAUGACAGGAGCAGUAGUAGCCACCUUGGAGUCAAAAAUUAAUGUCACAUCUGGAGGGUGAUCCCAUCAUCCGAUCUUUUAUCUGUUACAAGCCUAGAAGAUUCCCUCUUCAGAAGGACACUUCCAAUCCCUACUCUUAGAGACCACUCACCU
Molecule: long non-coding RNA, 387 nt
Filed under: Vulpes vulpes (red fox)
Lineage: Eukaryota; Metazoa; Chordata; Mammalia; Carnivora; Canidae
Description: lncRNA (ENSVVUG00000014813.1)
Source: RNAcentral